UUCUCAAAAUUUCAUUUUGGUCCCCCAAACUCUCCGUUCUCUCUCCUCUCCCACGCGGCCGAACCGCUCAACCCGACCCGGCCGAACGGCGGCCCUCCGGCCUCCUCCGGCCCCGGACCCGGCCUUCCCCGAGUUCGCCGUCGCACGCCUGGCCUCCCUCUGGUGUCGCUGUGCCCCGCCGCUGCCCCCAGACGUGGAUCGAAGCCACCCCAGCCGUGCGAAACCCGACCCGGCCGGAAAACGACUUUUCCGGCGAUGCACGGGCCGAUCGUUCCCAUUUUCGUGAUCUCCUCCUCAUGAUGAUCAUCCCCAUGUACUUGACGGUUUGAGUUGACGAGCGUUUGGAAUAUCGUUAUAAUUGACUUGUUAGAAGACGCAGCGGGAUUAGAGUUCUUUCUUGUUUACUCACGAGCUUUGCAAAAAGCUUACCGGGUUUGGUGUUGUUGCAAUCCCGGUACACUAUUCAAAUUGUGUAGUGGGUAAUCUCACAGGUCAGGAGAAUCAGGCAGUGAUCGUGCAGUUUAGAGUACUAGUAUUAGAUUUACAGCAAUUGUUUUGUGAGGAGAAUUAUACUCAUUUGAGUUUUACAAUUUGAUUUGGUGAGAGUGUGCUGUAAUAAGUAGCUCGAGGAUUUGGUUUAUGUAAUAUUAAGAGGUGUAAACUAGUGGUUGUUUCUGAGAGAAAAAUUCAGAACGUUAUUUGUAUUGUUAUUAGUCAUGUUCCGGAUUUGAAUCCUUAUUUCAAAAUUCGGGGUGUGACAAAUCACCCUUACACGUGGUCUGACGGUUUUGGAUCGCGGUGUCCGAACGGGUGAAAACAGUUCAUCUUAAUGUUGGUGGCUGGGUUGUAUCGGUACUGGUUUGGUUGUUACUCA
This is a long non-coding RNA of Rosa chinensis, 874 nucleotides long. RefSeq lists it as uncharacterized. The record is from RefSeq and is a predicted model, not a curated record. The transcript has 3 exons. Lineage: Eukaryota; Viridiplantae; Streptophyta; Magnoliopsida; Rosales; Rosaceae.